This 62-nucleotide transfer RNA is filed under the name Terebratalia transversa. Its description in RNAcentral is "tRNA-Ala". The record is from RNAcentral. Lineage: Eukaryota; Metazoa; Brachiopoda; Rhynchonellata; Terebratulida; Laqueidae.
UGUGUUGUACUUUAAUUUAUAAAAGGUUUGAUUUGCAGUCAAAUAAUGGUCUUCCAACGCAG